GCAGGUGUAGUUUAGUGGUAGGGAACUUGCCUAGGAUGCAUAAGGCCUGGGUUCUAUUCCCAGCAUUGUA
RNAcentral lists this transfer RNA (70 nucleotides) under Cricetulus griseus (Chinese hamster). It matches the Rfam family "tRNA". Rfam says of the family: Transfer RNA (tRNA) molecules are approximately 80 nucleotides in length. Their secondary structure includes four short double-helical elements and three loops (D, anti-codon, and T loops). Further hydrogen bonds mediate the characteristic L-shaped molecular structure. tRNAs have two regions of fundamental functional importance: the anti-codon, which is responsible for specific mRNA codon recognition, and the 3' end, to which the tRNAs corresponding amino acid is attached (by aminoacyl-tRNA synthetases). tRNAs cope with the degeneracy of the genetic code in two manners: having more than one tRNA (with a specific anti-codon) for a particular amino acid; and 'wobble' base-pairing, i.e. permitting non-standard base-pairing at the 3rd anti-codon position. Lineage: Eukaryota; Metazoa; Chordata; Mammalia; Rodentia; Cricetidae. The record is from Rfam by way of RNAcentral.